RNAcentral lists this ribosomal RNA (592 nucleotides) under uncultured bacterium. Its description in RNAcentral is "bacterial SSU rRNA". It matches the Rfam family "Bacterial small subunit ribosomal RNA", at positions 335 to 930 of the family's 1533-position model. The record is from RNAcentral.
ACUCCUACGGGAGGCAGCAGUAGGGAAUAUUGGUCAAUGGGCGCAAGCCUGAACCAGCCACGCCGCGUGCGGGAGGAAGGCGCUACGCGUCGUAAACCGCUUUUGUUGGGGAAGAAACCUCUUAUUUAAAGAGCUGACGGUACCCAAAGAAUAAGGACCGGCUAACUCCGUGCCAGCAGCCGCGGUAAUACGGAGGGUCCGAGCGUUGUCCGGAUUUAUUGGGUUUAAAGGGUGCGUAGGCGGACUUGUAAGCGGGCGGUGAAAGCGUGCGGCUCAACCGUGCAAUGGCCGCCCGAACUGCAAGUCUUGGGUGCGGACGACGUGGGCGGAAUGUGCCGUGUAGCGGUGAAAUGCUUAGAUAUGGCACAGAACGCCGAUUGCGAAGGCAGCUCACGAGGGCGCCACCGACGCUGAGGCACGAAAGCGUGGGGAUCAAACAGGAUUAGAUACCCUGGUAGUCCACGCUGUAAACGAUGGAUACUCGCCGCUGGCGAUAUAGAGUCAGUGGCUUAGCGAAAGCGUUAAGUAUCCCACCUGGGGAGUACGCCGGCAACGGUGAAACUCAAAGGAAUUGACGGGGGCCCGCACAAGC